Molecule: ribosomal RNA, 466 nt
Filed under: uncultured bacterium
Lineage: Bacteria
Description: partial 16S ribosomal RNA
Rfam family: Bacterial small subunit ribosomal RNA
Source: RNAcentral
GACGAACGCUGGCGGCGUGCUUAACACAUGCAAGUCGAACGGAAAGGCCUCUUUCGGGGGGUACUCGAGUGGCGAACGGGUGAGUAACACGUGAGUAACCUGCCCUUGACUUUGGGAUAACUUCAGGAAACUGGGGCUAAUACCGGAUAGGAGCUCCUGCUGCAUGGUGGGGGUUGGAAAGUUUCGGCGGUUGGGGAUGGACUCGCGGCUUAUCAGCUUGUUGGUGGGGUAGUGGCUUACCAAGGCUUUGACGGGUAGCCGGCCUGAGAGGGUGACCGGCCCAUUUGGACUUGGGUACGGCCCAGACUUCCUCCGGGGGCAGGAGGUGGGAAUUUUUCCACAUGGGUGGGAGCCUUAAUGCGGAACGCCCGUGUGCGGAUUGCCGGCUUUCGGGUGGAAACCGCUUUCGCUCAUGACGAAGCUUUGUGUGACGGUAGUGGGUAAAGAAGCACCGGCUAACUACGUG